AUUGAACGCUGGCGGCAUGCCUUACACAUGCAAGUCGAACGGUAACAGGUUAAGCUGACGAGUGGCGAACGGGUGAGUAAUGUAUCGGAACGUGCCCAGUCGUGGGGGAUAACUGCUCGAAAGAGCAGCUAAUACCGCAUACGACCUGAGGGUGAAAGCGGGGGAUCGCAAGACCUCGCGCGAUUGGAGCGGCCGAUAUCAGAUUAGGUAGUUGGUGAGGUAAAGGCUCACCAAGCCGACGAUCUGUAGCUGGUCUGAGAGGACGACCAGCCACACUGGGACUGAGACACGGCCCAGACUCCUACGGGAGGCAGCAGUGGGGAAUUUUGGACAAUGGGCGCAAGCCUGAUCCAGCCAUGCCGCGUGCGGGAAGAAGGCCUUCGGGUUGUAAACCGCUUUUGUCAGGGAAGAAAAGGUUCUGGCUAAUACCUGGGACUCAUGACGGUACCUGAAGCAUAAGCACCGGCUAACUACGUG
This 477-nucleotide ribosomal RNA is filed under the name uncultured bacterium. RNAcentral's name for it is "partial 16S ribosomal RNA". It matches the Rfam family "Bacterial small subunit ribosomal RNA", at positions 30 to 507 of the family's 1533-position model. The record is from RNAcentral.